CCGAUCAUCGCUACAUGCUCUGUGUUUCUGUCAUUCAAAAGGAUUGGUACCAGAUCUUCAAUUGGGGCACCCCUCUCUUCGGUGAGGUCAUCGCGAGCAUCCAAUCCAUCGAUGGGACAGGGGUCAAAUUGGUCGCUUCUUUGCAAGGCUAUGCUGUAGCAGUGCCUGGCCAGGGCUUGGUCUCCCCGGACCUCUCCGAUCCCC
RNAcentral lists this long non-coding RNA (204 nucleotides) under Elaeis guineensis (African oil palm). RNAcentral's name for it is "long non-coding RNA (EGUI_LNC027890)". The record is from RNAcentral. Lineage: Eukaryota; Viridiplantae; Streptophyta; Magnoliopsida; Arecales; Arecaceae.